AGGCAGCAGUGAGGAAUAUUGGUCAAUGGGAGAGAUCCUGAACCAGCCAAGCCGCGUGAGGGAAGACGGCCCUAUGGGUUGUAAACCUCUUUUGUCGGAGAACAAAACCCGGGACGAGUCCCGGACUGCGUGUAUCCGAAGAAAAAGCAUCGGCUAACUCCGUGCCAGCAGCCGCGGUAAUACGGAGGAUGCGAGCGUUAUCCGGAUUUAUUGGGUUUAAAGGGUGCGUAGGCGGUCUGUUAAGUCAGCGGUAAAAUUGCGGGGCUCAACCCCGUCGAGCCGUUGAAACUGGCAGACUUGAGUUGGCGAGAAGUACGCGGAAUGCGCGGUGUAGCGGUGAAAUGCAUAGAUAUCGCGCAGAACUCCGAUUGCGAAGGCAGCGUACCGGCGCCAGACUGACGCUGAGGCACGAAAGCGUGGGGAUCGAACAGGAUUAGAUACCCUGGUAGUCCACGCAGUAAACGAUGAAUGCUGGUUGUCCGGGUCGAAUGAGACCUGG
This 499-nucleotide ribosomal RNA is filed under the name uncultured bacterium. Its description in RNAcentral is "bacterial SSU rRNA". It matches the Rfam family "Bacterial small subunit ribosomal RNA", at positions 346 to 842 of the family's 1533-position model. The record is from RNAcentral.